Molecule: ribosomal RNA, 253 nt
Filed under: uncultured bacterium
Lineage: Bacteria
Description: partial 16S ribosomal RNA
Rfam family: Bacterial small subunit ribosomal RNA
Source: RNAcentral
UACGUAGGGUCCGAGCGUUGUCCGGAAUUACUGGGCGUAAAGAGCUCGUAGGUGGUUUGUCGCGUUGUUCGUGAAAACUCACAGCUUAACUGUGGGCGUGCGGGCGAUACGGGCAGACUGGAGUACUGCAGGGGAGACUGGAAUUCCUGGUGUAGCGGUGGAAUGCGCAGAUAUCAGGAGGAACACCGGUGGCGAAGGCGGGUCUCUGGGCAGUAACUGACGCUGAGGAGCGAAAGCAUGGGUAGCGAACAGG